GAGUCCACCUCAGUCAUCCCCCCACCAAGAUUGUUCAAAGCCCUUGUUCUUGAAGCUGACACCCUCAUCCCCAAGAUUGCUCCCCAAUCAGUGAAAAGUGCUGAAAUUGUUGAAGGAGAUGGAGGUGUUGGAACCAUCAAGAAGAUUAGCUUUGGUGAAGGUUGGUUUCUGUCAUUGCCUCUUCUAAGUUUAACUUGUUUGCCUAAUUAAUAACAUAAAUCUUGAAAGCAUUAAUCUCUUAAUUUCUAAUUAUAAUCCUCAUUUUACAGGAAGUCAUUACAGCUAUGUGAAGCACCGGAUCGACGGGCUUGACAAAGAUAACUUUGUGUACAGCUACAGUUUGGUUGAAGGAGAUGCUCUUUCAGACAAGGUUGAGAAAAUCAGUUAUGAGAUUAAGUUGGUGGCAUCUGCUGAUGGAGGUUCCAUCAUAA
This 431-nucleotide long non-coding RNA is filed under the name Prunus dulcis (almond). RNAcentral describes it as "sRNA ncRNA". Lineage: Eukaryota; Viridiplantae; Streptophyta; Magnoliopsida; Rosales; Rosaceae. The record is from RNAcentral.